RNAcentral lists this ribosomal RNA (312 nucleotides) under Triticum aestivum (bread wheat). RNAcentral's name for it is "partial small subunit ribosomal RNA". The record is from RNAcentral. Lineage: Eukaryota; Viridiplantae; Streptophyta; Magnoliopsida; Poales; Poaceae.
AUGGAGGGAGCGCACGGCCGAACGAACCCUACCCGGCUAGCCCCCAACCCGCAGCUCCCUCCUUCCCGCAGCCCCAGGAGCUCCGCCACCGCAUUCGACAAGAUCCACCACCUCCCCAAGGUCCUUAUCCACCCCAGGUCGCGAGGAAGCCGCGGAAGGAGGAGAUCAGCUGGGCGUCACCUGCCGGAGAAGGAGGAGAGGCGCGGAUGCCAGCCAAGGAGGCAGAUCGGCUUGCCUCUACUGCACCGUGAGCGUAGCCGCUGCCUCUGCACCCACCUUGCUCGGCCAUCAUGGGAGGAGGCUCACCAUUGA